GGUUCAAAAAAUAUCAAAGGGUUUGGAUCACGUAUACUGGCUAAAAGUAAUCCCUUUGCUUGCCGUGGACUUCGAGGGAUCACCACCUUGAGACCAGGUACAUGGCAAAAGAAAGCCUCUGGUGAUUGUGAAUGAUAAUGACCACCAUGCCCAACAGCACCAUAAGGAGAUCUUAUUGUCAAACCUCCACAAUUGAAUUGGUUCCCACUACGGUAUCUAAACUUAGCUGCUUCAUUCACAAUCUGGUCAAAGGCAGGGAAAAUAUAAUCUGCAAACUGAAUUUCUGCAAUGGCUCGAUUCCCCAUUGCAGCUAGGCCAAUUGCAAAACCAGCAAUUCCCUGUUCACAUAAGGGAGUAUUGAAGACUCUCUUCCUACCAAAUCGAUCUGCCAACCCAGUUGUACAGCGAAAGACACCACCAAAGCCCACAUCUUCUCCAAAUACAUAAGCACGGGGAUCGGUGUCGAGAGCGAUGUGAAGCGCCUGAUUGAUCGCUGAGAAGAGAUUGACUUGCUUCCCCUCAACCAAGGGCUGAUCCGCGCUGCUGGAGAAGAAUCGCUUGAUGAGCGGCGCAGGCCUUCGCCGUACCAGUCCUGCGAUCGGUCUCAGAGCCAUCGGGGAUGUUGAAGAGAAAG
RNAcentral lists this unclassified non-coding RNA (634 nucleotides) under Hevea brasiliensis (rubber tree). The record is from RNAcentral. Lineage: Eukaryota; Viridiplantae; Streptophyta; Magnoliopsida; Malpighiales; Euphorbiaceae.